GCCGAAGUAGCUCAGCGGUAGAGCAACUCCAUGGUAAGGAGUAGGUCGGGAGUUCAAUCCUCCCCUUCGGCUCCG
RNAcentral lists this transfer RNA (75 nucleotides) under Candidatus Harrisonbacteria bacterium RIFCSPLOWO2_02_FULL_45_10c. Its description in RNAcentral is "tRNA-Thr". It matches the Rfam family "tRNA". From Rfam's summary of the family: Transfer RNA (tRNA) molecules are approximately 80 nucleotides in length. Their secondary structure includes four short double-helical elements and three loops (D, anti-codon, and T loops). Lineage: Bacteria; Candidatus Harrisoniibacteriota. The record is from RNAcentral.